Molecule: ribosomal RNA, 355 nt
Filed under: uncultured bacterium
Lineage: Bacteria
Description: bacterial SSU rRNA
Rfam family: Bacterial small subunit ribosomal RNA
Source: RNAcentral
UGGAGAGAGCUUGCUCUCAAAACUUAGCGGCGAACGGGUGAGUAACACGUGGGCAACCUGCCUGACAGACUGGGAUAACUUGGGGAAACUCAAGCUAAUACCGGAUAAGAUCGCGAACCGCAUGGGACGCGAUGGAAAGUCUGAACGACACUGUCAGAUGGGCCCGCGGCGCAUUAGCUAGUUGGUGGGGUAAUGGCCUACCAAGGCGACGAUGCGUAGCCGACCUGAGAGGGUGACCGGCCACACUGGGACUGAGACACGGCCCAGACUCCUACGGGAGGCAGCAGUAGGGAAUCUUCCACAAUGGGCGAAAGCCUGAUGGAGCAACGCCGCGUGAGUGAUGAAGGUUUUCGGA